Long non-coding RNA from Vespula vulgaris, 2959 nucleotides. RefSeq lists it as uncharacterized. The record is from RefSeq and is a predicted model, not a curated record. The transcript has 2 exons. NCBI's taxonomy places the organism in Eukaryota, Metazoa, Arthropoda, Insecta, Hymenoptera, Vespidae.
CUCCUUUCUUCUCAAUUUCUUCAUGAUUUCACCUAACAUAGAUAUACAGACUUAAAAUUCUAUGUAAUAAACGGUCUGACGUGUGUUCAUGUACUUACGUGUGUAUGUGUGAUACGUGGACGCGUGAGGUCUGGUGAUUGCAAGUGUUAUUUUUGUGUGCAUGUGUACAGAAAAAAUAUCACAUGUUUUUUUUCUUUUUUCUUCUUUUUUUUUUCUUUAUGACAUUUUGUUGUUUGAAAAAUUAUAUAAUAAAUGAUGCCAUACGUUAAUUUCUUGAUAUUAAUGCAGGAAGGUCUUUCCGAAAUAGAUAAGAUUAUUUUUAUUCGUUUUUCAUUGAUUUUUUUUUCACUUCAGUUUUAAAGCUUUUCGUAUAUAACGUGUACAAUAUUAAUUUCAAUAUCGAUUUUCUUUUAAUCUGAAAGAAACUUAUGUAUAUACGUAUGUAUAUACAUAUGUGCGUAUAACAGGUAAUAUUUUUAAUAAUAAGGACGAUAACUUGUUUUUUUUUUUAUAAAAAAGAAAUAUUUUUUAAAUUAAAGAGAAACGUGAAAAAAGAAAUUGACGACAUCGGGGUCGUCGUUCGACUAGUACAUUUAUUUACUUAGCAAACUUCACGGAAAUCGUUAUGCUUCCGCGAAAGUUCUUACAGAUAAACCUUGCGCAAGACAUGCACUUUGCAAGGAAUUAGUGUGUUACCUCGUUUGAUCGACUUAGGGAAAGAAAACAGAAAGUUAUCGAAAUUAUGGAAUUUAUUUGAGUCUUUUUUUCUUUGUUCGACGUCAUUCUCUCUCUUUCUCUCUCUCUCUCUCUCUCUCUCUCUCUCUCUUUUUUCUUUUAAAUAUAACGCGAACAUUAUUAUCGUCUCUUUGAACGUAACGAUAUUAUGAAUGAAAACAAAAAAGAGAAAAAUAUGCGAAAACGAAUAAUACUCGAAGAUUUCAACAAAUGAAUAAUAUUAUUUUAUUUACAAAAUGUCCAUAUUCGAAGAUUAUGUGCGUAAUUGUUUUGAUAAUUUUACAAUACAAUAUACCUUAUUUAAAAGUUAUCGAUUUGUAAAAAAUUUAUCUGUUUUAUAUUCGAAACAUUGGUAUAAGAGUUUCUCUUUUGUAUUACGACCGGAAGCUUUUAUAACCGGUAGAGAAGAGUAUAACAGAGACUCCAUAUCGGUCGUACUAGAAACUUCUACAGUAUCUAAUGUCCAGAUGUUCAUAUUUACAUUUUCUGUUUGAAGUAUUUAAAAGCAUACAUGACUUUCAAAUGAAGCAAGGAAAAAAAGAAAUGCAACAAGUAUGAAAAAAAAAAGAACAGAAAAGAAAAAAAAAACCGAAAAGAAAUAUAUAUUAUCUAUCAGAGUAUCUGCUUCGUGAGAAAGAAAUAAAAUUAUUCUUUGAGAGAGUCAUUCUAUGACAAGUAGAAAAACGAGAUAACAUUUUAAGUCGUAUAGAUACAUAUAUAGAUACAUAUAAAAUCUGGACGAAGCAUAAUACAAAACUCGUUUCUCAAAUUUCUUGAUUAUAAUCAUACAUUUUGUUUUUUCUACGCUUGCCGAAUCACGAAUCAUGAAUCUUAAAAAAGCCGUGUGUAUAUAUAUAUAUAUAUAUAUAAUAUAUAUAUAUAUAUAUAUAUAUAUAUAUAUAUAUAUAUCCGAUUUUGAUGUAAUCUACAUUUUAUACUGUCAAUUAUAUGUUGGCAUUAAAAUUUCCGGAGACAUCGAUGCGCGUAAAUCGUAUGAAAAUGAUUAGUAACAUUAAUGGAAGUAAUGUUGUUCGACUUGUUAUCAAGGAAUAAAUAUUUUGUUUGUAUAUUCGUUUAAAUAACUCAUCGACAGACAAUUUUGCAAAUUAGUUUGAUACAUAGCUUAGAAACAAAGUUUUCUUUCGAAAGUAAAUAUUAAAACUAAUCGUUAGUAGAAAUACAUAUAUAGAUACAGACUGAUUUUCUAGAUUUUAAAAAUGAAUUAUUCAUUUCUCGAUAUUUUUAAGACUUAUUUUAUUUUUGUUUUUUUUCAGAUGUUAUACAAAAGUUUCUAGACAUAUAGUUUUAUAAUUUGAAAGAGAAAAAUUAGUCGUCGAUAAAAGUCUCGAAAAAGAGUAAUUGAUUUUUUAUAUUACUUAAGAACUGUUUCAGCUAACUCGGUAUAAGCUAUUUAUUUAUUCAUACGUACCUUUCCGGUUACAGAUCAAUUUUAGAUAAAUUAAUUUAUUUUAUUAUCGUUUUAUUAUCUUUUCUUUUUAAUUAUUACGAUCGUCAUAAAGAAUAAUGAUCGAGCAAGUAGACUUUCUUCACGCUGUAUAAAUAAGGUAUAAUAACUCUUUUGAUUUGUAUACCUGACAACAGUACCUCUUUACUUUUAUCGGACAGAUCGAGUAGUAUAAAGGCUGCUGCACGAGAUGGCCUACUAUCUCUUUGAAACCUCUCACCUUAGAAUCGUCCAUCCGCAUCGAGGUCACUAUGAAUUAUAUGAAUAAGAUUUCACUUUUCGGCGUUGAAAUAUUUGCGGGAAGAGACUUUGAACGGGUGAAAGAAGAGGAGGGAAAGGAGGAAGAGGUGAAGGAGGAGGAGAAGGAGGAGGAGAAGGAGGAGUAGGAGGAGGAGGAGGAGGAUACCAAAGGAGAGCGCAAAACGACAAAAGACCUCGACUCGGUUGGUUAGCCAGCGUGAAGUCUCACACACUCUCGCAUCUUUCCAUUGUAUAUUCAACUACAUACGUACAUGUGUAUUUUAUAUGCAAACACGAAGAGAAGAUCUAUCUGUCUAUGUGUAUGCAUGCCUUCGCGCGCAAAUCCUAAUUAGAGGAAGAGGAAAAUAAGAGAGAGAGAGAGAUAGAGCGAGAGAGAGAGAGAGAGAGAGAGAGAGAGAGAGAGAAGCAAUGAUUAUGUAAAUUAAUCGACUGUAUAUUGUGAAAACGGAAUCGACCAUGGCUUAUGAAUAAAUUUUAUAUAUUCUUAAAGAAAAAAAA